RNAcentral lists this unclassified non-coding RNA (21 nucleotides) under Chlamydomonas reinhardtii. RNAcentral's name for it is "small RNA Cre_1320". The record is from RNAcentral. Lineage: Eukaryota; Viridiplantae; Chlorophyta; Chlorophyceae; Chlamydomonadales; Chlamydomonadaceae.
CGGCGGUGAUGGCGGUAGCGG